UCCCCAGACUCCUACGGGAGGCAGCAGUCGGGAAUAUUGCGCAAUGGAGGAAACUCUGACGCAGUGACGCCGCGUAUAGGAAGAAGGUUUUCGGAUUGUAAACUAUUGUCGUGAGGGAAGAAAUUGACAGUACCUCAGGAGGAAGCUCCGGCUAACUAUGUGCCAGCAGCCGCGGUAAUACAUAGGGAGCAAGCGUUAUCCGGAUUUAUUGGGUUUAAAGGGUGCGUAGGCGGAACAUUAAGUCAGCGGUAAAAUCGAGGGGCUCAACCCCUUUAAGCCGUUGAAACUGGUGAUCUUGAGUGGGCGAGAAGUAUGCGGAAUGCGUGGUGUAGCGGUGAAAUGCAUAGAUAUCACGCAGAACUCCGAUUGCGAAGGCAGCAUACCGGCGCCCGACUGGCGCUGAGGCACGAAAGCGUGGGGAUCGAACAGGAUUAGAUACCCCGGUA
Molecule: ribosomal RNA, 446 nt
Filed under: uncultured bacterium
Lineage: Bacteria
Description: bacterial SSU rRNA
Rfam family: Bacterial small subunit ribosomal RNA
Source: RNAcentral